CAGCCACAAUGUCAUCUCCACGCACCUUAACCGAAACAAAGACAAUCACACCCUAAUCCGACCAUACUCUGUGAACCCUGAAAAUGAAAUAUACCAUUUAUGUUGUUACGAUGAGAAUUUGAAUCGUUUGGAAUGACAUUAUUCAUGUCUCUCUGUCUUAUCUAUUCCAUGACACUACACCUCAGGCGUAUGUGAACGGAGCUUCCCAUUGGACUGCUCUCAAAUGGAAUGAAAUAUCACUUCGGAGUAUGAUUGUUUUGUUCAACAUGCAUGAUGAGACAUUCUCAGGGAUGAUAUUGCCGACUAGUUUAAUCAAUGAAUCACGAUCAAACUAUGAUGAAUUGGUCCUCUUUGUGUAAGAGGAAUUACUUUGUAUGGUUGAUAAUAACUAUAUUGAAAGUUGCUUUAAGAAUGUAGAUGGUUUUUCCCUUUUUCUCCAGCAGUUUAUUAGUACAAUCCUAGUUAAAUUAGAAGGCCUAUCUUUGGUAGGAAACUAAUUAGUUAUUUUAAUUUUGGUAGAAAUAGUUUGUAAUGGAAACUAUUUAAGUUACUAAGUUGAUGAUCAAUCAUAGACGGCUUUUACAAGAAAAUAAUCAACCUCUCGGCAUAUUCUCUUCUUCAAACUCCAUCUCUAUUUUAGCAGCUAGCUUUUGAAUUGAAUUCCUGUUAUUUCCCUUUAAUGGUUUUUAAACCAACAAUUGGUAUCAGAUCUUUAAUCUUAAGGGACCUGUGAGUGUUUGCAUCAAUCUGAUCCAGUGAAUACCAUGAACGGAGAAACAAUUUUUUCUUCAAUGGCACCACCAACUUUCGAUGGAGAAAGUUAUCAAAUCUGGGCAGUUAGAAUGCGGAUAUAUCUGCAAGCUUUAGAUCUCUAGGAGGCUGUUGAAGAUGAAUACGAGAUAACUCUCUUUCCGGACAAUCCCACGGUGGCGCAGAUUAAAACUCACAAGGAGAGGAAAACUAAGAAAUCAAAGGCAAUGGCAUGCUUAUUUACUGUAGUUUCGUCUAAUAUCUUGACUCGUAUCAUGUCUCUACAAUUAGCAAAAGAGGUAUGGGAUUAUCUCAAGACUGAGUAUGAAGGAGAUAAAAGGAUUCGAGGGAUUCAAGUGAUGAAUCUGCUACGUAAGUUUGAGCUGCAAAGGAUGAAAGAAAGUGAAACCAUAAAGGAGUACUUUGAUAGACUUCUUAAUUUAGCAAAUCGCAUCAGAUUGUUGGGUUCCACUUUCAAUGAUUCAAGGAUCAUUGAAAAAAUCCUAGUAACGGUACCUGAAAGAUUUGAGGCUACCAUAACAACCAUAGAAAAUACUAAGGACUUGUCUAAGAUCACACUUGGAGAGCUCUUAAGUGCUUUUCAAGCACAAGAGCAACAAUGUGUUAUGAGAUAAGGAGGAGCUAUCAAAGGUGCCUUACCAGCCAAGCAUCAUGAAGAUGAACGUUCUAAGAAGAAGAAGAAUAAGAAGUACCAACAAACUGAUGAAGAAGGGGCAACGCACAACAACAAAAACAAAACAGGUGGUUUCAAAGGAAACUACCCUCCUUGUAAGCAUUGUGGCAAGCUCGGACAUGCACCUUUCAAGUGUUGGGAGAGGACUGAUGCUAAGUGCACUAAGUGUAAUCAGCUUGGGCAUGAAGAAAUCAUCUGUAAGAACAAAACUCAGCAGCAAGAUGCAGAGGCUUGAGUUGUUGGUGAACAGGAAAAAGAUCAACUCUUUGUCGCAUCAUGUUUAACAAGCAGUGUCUCAAGCGAGUCGUGGCUGAUCGAUAGCGGAUGCACAAAUCAUAUGACUUGUGAUAAAGAUCUUUUUAAAGAUUUAAGGCCAACUAAAGUUACAAAAGUUAGAAUCGGCCAUGGUGGUUAUAUUCCAGCAAAAGGUAUGGGAAUGAUUAUAAUUGAAACACAAUCGGGCACUAACAUGAUUUCUGAUGUUCUUUUUGUACCCGAUUUGGACCAAAACUUGUUAAGUAUUGGUCAGUUAUUAGAAAAAGGUUUCAAAUUGUAUUUUGAAGGUAAACACUUCUUGAUCAAGGAAGCAUCUGUACAAGACCUAUUUAAAGUCAAAAUGAGAGGCAAAAGUUUCUCAUUAAAUCCAUUGGAAGAAGAGCGUGGAUUUCACCCGUUAUGUGUGGAGCCACCUUUGCUAAAAGAAAACAUUCCACCUGAUGAUGAAGGCUGGAUUUAUCCUGGUUACGAUUGCAAAGUUGACUGCAUUAACUUGCUUAAUGAUCUUCAAGGAAUAGACCUUUCUGCCACUGACAGCUGGGAGAAAGUAUAAUCCAAGAAAGCUGCUGCUGUUGCAUCCGGGGAGAAGCUAGAUGAUAUUUCUGGACUUCCAUCGAAUGACUCGGAUAAUGGCCUACCUAACAUACCUUGUUCGAAUGAAGUUUCUGCUAAGCAUUUAGGUGAAGAAAUUUCUUUGCCUAAGCACGAUUUGGAAGAUAGAAAGCCCAAUAUGGUGUUUUUGGGAAAUACUUCUGGUCUUGCUAGGCGAGGGGGAUUGUGCCCUCUUAAUGGAUUCCAGAAUAUGACUCAUUUGGAAUCUGAUUCUGAGUGUAAGCUUUACUUGGAAAACAGAUGCCUGAAACUGAAACUGCUAAUGCUGAUAAAUUAUCAGAACUGGAACUUAAGAGUGUUUAUGAUGAGCAGCGUGAGAAUGCUACUCAGUCAGCUGAGCUGCCUUUGUUGAGCAAUUCCCGAUUAGCCCAGGUUGAAUCCUACCAGAUUUUUGGCAGCUAUUCAGCGGGGGAGUCGUCUCUCACAUAGUUUGGAGAUCCUGGCCGUAGAAUAUCAGCUGCAUUGCAAGAAAUCCAGAAGACAACAGGUAGUUCAUCAACCAAGGAGAAACUCAAAGUUGGAGGUAUGAGCACCUCUGAAUCUCGUUCAAGUGGUAAAAUAAAGGCAUAUGGAGAAGUCACCACCAAGAGACUCUAAAAAUCUUUCAAGGAAAAUAAUUAUCCUGACCAUGAAGCAAAGGAGAAGUUUGAGCAAAGUGGUGGUUGGAUAAAAGCAUUACUUGAAGAAGCUGAGAAUGAGAGGAUGCAUCUAAUGACUAUGGUGGAGCUAGUACAACCUAAAUGGUAUGAGAAGUUGUUAGUUAUUGCCGUGCAGGGAGCGUUUUUCAAUUUUUACUUUAUGCUUUACUUGCUCUCCCUUAAGCUUGCGCAUAGAGUUGUGGGUUAUCUGGAAGAUGAGGCUAUACACUCAUAUACUUUGUCUCUUAAUGAUAUUUAUCGUGGUGAAAUUGAAAAUGUCCCUACUCCUAUGAUAGCAAUUGACUACUGAAGACUGCCUAAGGAUGUGAUUCUAAAGGAUGUUGUUACUGUCAUCCAUGCUGAUGAAGCUCAUCAUAGAGACGUUAACCAUUUUGCAUCUCCAUGGGAGACAUAUCAGGCUAACUUGUCGAUUGAUCUAAGCAAGCACCAUGUGCCCAAGACAUUCCUUGAUAAGGUUGCUUAUUGGUCAGUGAAGCUUCUCAGGAUUCCAAUCGAUUUAUUUUUUAAGAAAAGACACGGUUGUCGUGUAAUGAUGUUGGAAACAGUGGCAAGUGUACCAGGAAUGCUGGGAGGUAUGCUGUUACAUCUGAGGUCGUUACGCAAGUUCGAGAUUCUAAGGCAAAGAAUUGGUGUUUGCAUUUCAUAAAGCAAGGAGGAGUGUUGAAAGUUGCUUUAAGAAUGCAGUCGUUUUUUUCUUUUUUCUCCAGCAGUUUUUUUAGUACAAUUCUAGUUAAAUUAGGAGUCCUAUCUUUGGUAGGAAACUAAUUAGUUAUUUUAAUUUUGGUAGAAAUAGGUUGUAAUAGAAACUAUUUAAGUUGCUAAGUUGAUGAUCAAUCAUAGAUGGCUUUUACAAGAAAAUAAUCAACCUUUCUGUAUAUUCUCUUAUUCAAACUCCAUCUCUAUUUUAGCGGCUAGCUUUUGAAUUGAAUUCCUGUUAUUUCCCUUUAACGGUUUUUAAACUAACAAACUAUGACAAAAGUAAACCUAUUGAUAUCUGGAUGAUGAAAGAGUAUUGUCAUGUUCGAAAAUAGUUCCUAGACGCGACUUGUACCCGCGCAUAACACCUGCCGGGAGAACCAACCUUCCAUACACUUUAUCAGUUAAUAAGCACUAAUAUAAGAUAUGAAAAACUCUAAUGCAUCAAUAAAUAGAGAUUAGUAAUUCAACAAAAAUUUAUAAUCAGACUAAUAGUCCAUCAAUAAUUCGAGAACUAAUUCUUUAGCCUAAAUCUCACACUCAAAUCAUGGAGCAUCUAAAAAAAGUUACAUGGGUUCAACUUUCGGGCAUGCAACCCAUUAAAGAGAACUAAAAAUAGAUAGAGCUGAAAAGACAGCCUCCAUGAAUAAUGUGAAGGCUCACCUUAUGAAGAGAAUCUUCAUGAACGAACCGUUAACCGCUAGUCUCACCUUCGCAACAGUAUAUGCAGACAUGCAAGUAAGGAUUUAGAUAUAAAUAUAAACCAGUAAGAUCCUCGACCUGCUACUUUAAUACCCCUGGAACAAGUGUUAGAAAAUACAAACCACAAAGACCAAAUAAACGAUAUGUAAAACAUAUAUCUUAUAGUAUAAUUCUCAAUAAGGUCCAACAAAUGUUUCAAAAAUCACUAUGUAGAUCUCAACUCAGCCUAGCACCCCGACAAGUCCACGGCAGCAUAUAUAAUGCCCCAAAAUUGUACUACGACAACAAGUACAAUGCCCCUAACUUAUUACGGUGGCAUAGGUAUGCCCCUAACAUAUUACGACAGCGCAUGUAUGCCCCUAGUAAAUAUAUCACAACAACAAGUACAAGGCCCCUAACAUAUUACGGCAGCAUAGAUAUGCCCCUAACAUAUUACAACAGCACAAGUACGCUCCUAGUAAAUAUAUCCAAUAUCCUAACAUCACCUUACAACUCACCGUUAAAUGAUCCUCAAUAUACUUAACAAAAUACAUAUCCGCGGUUGAUCAAAGACCACCGAUUCUACCAAGCACAUGCUUGUCCCAACACAUAGACUAGGUAGAAAAACAUAUUUUCUAAUAAAGCAUGUUUGAAAAGCAAGCACCAAAGCUUAAAGUUUCACUUACCUCGUUGAUGGCAAGUUUCCUCAACCUCGCAACUCGUAGAAUAUUAACCAAAUAGCCUCCAAUGGCUUCAAUCUAUGCAAACAUAUUAAUUAAUAAUAUCAAUUAAAAUAAUCGGGAUCAAAUUUCAAUAUCCCAAAAUUCCAAGCUUAGAGCUAAACCGUAGUAUCUCACCCCUUAAUCCAUGACUUAAAAUGGGAAACUCCAACGUAUCUAUUCAAUUAUAAUUUAUAUAGGUUAAUACCCAAACUACAAGAACAUUAAGCAAUACAGUAGCCUUAAUGCUAAAGAAGUGAUCCAUAAACAAUGGCUAAAAGAUAAGCUGGUAAAAUUCUUCUUUGCGUCCUCAUUGAAAAUUCAAAUUUCUAUCACCGCUAAAAAACUUAUCAAUAUGCAAUUGUAAAUUCAACUUCAAUUGACCACAUUAUCAAAAAUUCUACUUCAUUACAACUCCAUUGACAACACCUCUCAAAAGAAAAGAUCGGGACUAGAUAUAGUUUUUCUCUGCCAAUAGUUACAUAAGGAAAUUACAUUCAAAUGCCUUCUCCACCCUACUGAUAUUAAUAUAUAAUUGAACCCUAACUAAUUACUCUUCUUGCAUGAGCAUCAAUGAAACAUAAAUGUAAAAUAGGAGCAUCAUGACAAUUAGAGGUUCCAAUACCUAUCUAUGUAAAAUCCCUAGUGCUCCAACUCUUAUUCUACCCGAAAAGAACCCUUGCCCCUCUAUGAGGCUGCUGCUUCUGACAGAAGAACUUAAGAAAAUAAUUACCCUUUCAACUCCCUAGUUAUAACAUGC
Molecule: long non-coding RNA, 5847 nt
Filed under: Capsicum annuum
Lineage: Eukaryota; Viridiplantae; Streptophyta; Magnoliopsida; Solanales; Solanaceae
Description: long non-coding RNA (CANN_LNC012031)
Source: RNAcentral